Long non-coding RNA from Nematostella vectensis (starlet sea anemone), 382 nucleotides. RefSeq lists it as uncharacterized. Lineage: Eukaryota; Metazoa; Cnidaria; Anthozoa; Actiniaria; Edwardsiidae. The transcript has 2 exons. The record is from RefSeq and is a predicted model, not a curated record.
GCGGCCAUAUGGAGCUAGCAGAGAAAAUCCAUUUGCAUCGGCUUAUCUGCAAUCCACUUAGCAAUGGUAACGAUCCAAUCUGAUACACUGAAGAUGAAGGUUAACACAACGUACCUCCACGGAUCUCCUCACCGUCACACUCCCUAGAGCACUGCGAAAAGAAAAGCUGAAUUGAUGGCAAGUUAAGAAAAAGUAAUGUGCCGAAUUGAUAGCAAGUUAAGAAGUAGUGAUGUGCCGAAUGGAUAGCAAGAUAAGAAGUAGUGAUGUGCUGAAUGGAUAGCAAGAUAAGAAGUAGUGAUGUGCCGAAUGGAUAGUAAGAUAAGAAGUAGUGAUGUGCCAAAUUGAUAGCAAGUUAAGAAAAAGUAUUGUGCCGAAGUGAUAG